Molecule: transfer RNA, 66 nt
Filed under: Pseudolestes mirabilis
Lineage: Eukaryota; Metazoa; Arthropoda; Insecta; Odonata; Pseudolestidae
Description: tRNA-Ile
Source: RNAcentral
AAUAAAGUGCCUGAAGAAUAGGGUUGUCUUGAUAGGACAAAUAAAGAGAUCAAUUCACCUUUGUUA